This 21-nucleotide non-coding RNA is filed under the name Arabidopsis thaliana (thale cress). The record is from RNAcentral. Lineage: Eukaryota; Viridiplantae; Streptophyta; Magnoliopsida; Brassicales; Brassicaceae.
GGGUCCCGGGAUGUUGAUUGA